RNAcentral lists this microRNA precursor (153 nucleotides) under Amborella trichopoda. RNAcentral's name for it is "MIR8565 microRNA precursor family". It matches the Rfam family "MIR8565 microRNA precursor family". Lineage: Eukaryota; Viridiplantae; Streptophyta; Magnoliopsida; Amborellales; Amborellaceae. The record is from Rfam by way of RNAcentral.
CCCACACCCAUGUCUGUAGGACCCCAAAGGAUCACCAUUAAAUUUAACACAGAUCUCUAGCAAAGUUAUCACAUGGGUGUGAGACUUGAUUUUUUAGAGAUCUGUGUUAUAUUUAAUGGUGAUCCUUUGGGGUUCUAUAUACAUGAGUGUGAG